ACAUGCUCUGUCUGCAUGCCUUUCUCUCUGAAAGAUUAGCAAUGAUGUGGGUUUAGACACUUCCGGAAUCCUGUAGACAACUUGAAAAAUGCCAUACCCCAUCCCUAAUUUAUACUCUGAUCUGUAAUUUUAUCCACAAUUGCUCCAGUUGAGCAUUCUGGCUCCCCGAUCUGAAAGCCUGCAAUUACUAUAUAAUUCUUCGCAAUUUUAGAUGUCCUAAUAUGGACUAUAAUUUUUGCGCAAGACAAUUUCCAGCUAUUUCAAGCAUCAACAUUGUCAAAGUUGUAUGUACAUAAUAAAUGGUAAUAUCAAUGCAUAGUUUUUAGCAUAACAUCUUGACUCGCGCGAUAAUUAUAUCCGUUUGGAGCCUACGCAAAAUUAGCCUGAAUUGCAUGCUAUAAAGAGGGAAAAUAAAGCCGGAUUUUUCAUUCCUGCUCGGAGAGCGUCUGUCAGCUCAGAGCCCCGCUAGAGGAGCACAUUCAUGGGACCCAAAGAGCCGGGACCCGCGCCAUGACUUCUGGAUGCUCUUUUCACAUUCUUCCCUGUCUCUCAAGAGCGAGAUUAGACAUCUUAUACACGAUGUUCUCCUUUAACAUGCCUCAAGUUAGAUGGCCUUUUCCUGCCCAAGUGGGAUCUAUUCAGCCUAAAUAAUCUGCACACCAGACCAGACAAUCAAAUGUCUGGUUACACGAGGCUAUCCGGAUUUCAACAUACAUUACCUCCAAGAUCACCAAGAGCGUGUCCACUGUGUCUUUAACUAAACACAACUUUAAAUAUCUCUUAGAUUCAGAGUUUGAGUCCGGAGUCUGCUGCCAUAUUAGUGUGAUUUCUGUGGUCAGGCAUUUUGAGC
This is a non-coding RNA of Pimephales promelas (fathead minnow), 850 nucleotides long. NCBI's taxonomy places the organism in Eukaryota, Metazoa, Chordata, Actinopteri, Cypriniformes, Leuciscidae. The record is from RefSeq and is a predicted model, not a curated record.